UACGUAAGGGGCGAGCGUUGCUCGGAAUUACUGGGCGUAAAGGGCGUGCAGGUGGGUAUACAAGUCGAAUGUAAAAAACCGCGGCUCAACUGCGGGGAUGCGUUCGAAACUGUAUACCUUGAGUCUGGUGGAGGGUGAUGGAAUUCCCGGUGUAGCGGUGAAAUGCGUAGAUAUCGGGAAGAACACCGAAGGCGAAGGCAGUCAUCCAUGCCAAGACUGACACUGAGGCGCGAAAGCAUGGGUAUCAAACAGG
Molecule: ribosomal RNA, 253 nt
Filed under: uncultured bacterium
Lineage: Bacteria
Description: partial 16S ribosomal RNA
Rfam family: Bacterial small subunit ribosomal RNA
Source: RNAcentral